Molecule: ribosomal RNA, 453 nt
Filed under: Triticum aestivum (bread wheat)
Lineage: Eukaryota; Viridiplantae; Streptophyta; Magnoliopsida; Poales; Poaceae
Description: partial small subunit ribosomal RNA
Source: RNAcentral
AUGCAUCAACCUUGCUCGGUCCAGCUAUCGUCAACGCCACCACGACGCCCAACGGCACCUCUUCCCACCGCGCAAACAUCUGAGGACGUCGCGGUCGCCACUGAUACACCUCAGCACCAUGCUGCCAAGUAUCACCAGCCGACACAGCUUGAAGUACCCUCAUGUUCUUCUUAUUAUGCUGAUGCUGAUGCUGAUGAUCUUCAUACAAGUAACAUUAUAAGCGUGUUAUGGUUUUUCUCAUUUGUUGUUCUUGUGCUGAUCACGUAUGUGCGUGCGUGCAGGCACAAAAGCCGAAGAGCUCAAAGAUUGGAUCGUCUUAGGUGCCAUGUGGGGGGAUGCACUAUUAGCGCUGCUUUCGCGUAUGGCCUGUGUCGGUUGGCGGACGAGAUCAAUCCGGAGAUCAGCCACAAGGCUGCUGCUUGGCUGAGGAAAAACGUAUGGCACACAGAGUAA